CCUACGGGUGGCAGCAGUGGGGAAUAUUGCACAAUGGGGGAAACCCUGAUGCAGCGACGCCGCGUGAGUGAAGAAGUAAUUCGUUAUGUUAAGCUCUAUCAGCAGGGGAGAAAAUGACGGUACCUGAGUAAGAAGCCCCGGCUAACUACGUGCCAGCAGCCGCGGUAAUACGUAGGGGGCAAGCGUUAUCCGGAUUUACUGGGUGUAAAGGGGGCGUAGACGGCAGUGCAAGUCUGGAGGGAAAGGCGGGGGCUCAACCCCCGGAGUGCUCUGGAAACUGUACGGCUGGAGUGCAGGAGAGGUAAGUGGAAUUCCUAGUGUAGCGGUGAAAUGCGUAGAUAUUAGGAGGAACACCAGUGGCGAAGGCGGCUUACUGGACUGUAACUGACGUUGAGGCUCGAAAGCGUGGGGAGCAAACAGGAUUAGAUACCCGGGUAGUC
Molecule: ribosomal RNA, 440 nt
Filed under: uncultured bacterium
Lineage: Bacteria
Description: partial 16S ribosomal RNA
Rfam family: Bacterial small subunit ribosomal RNA
Source: RNAcentral